Molecule: ribosomal RNA, 253 nt
Filed under: uncultured bacterium
Lineage: Bacteria
Description: partial 16S ribosomal RNA
Rfam family: Bacterial small subunit ribosomal RNA
Source: RNAcentral
UACGUAGGGUGCGAGCGUUAAUCGGAAUUACUGGGCGUAAAGGGUGCGCAGGCGGUUCUGCAAGUCAGGCGUGAAAGCCCCGGGCUUAACCUGGGAAUGGCGCUUGAAACUACAGGACUGGAGUAUGGCAGAGGGAGGUGGAAUUCCACGUGUAGCGGUGAAAUGCGUAGAGAUGUGGAGGAACACCGAUGGCGAAGGCAGCCUCCUGGGCCAAUACCGACGCUCAUGCACGAAAGCGUGGGGAGCAAACAGG